AGAGUUUGAUCCUGGCUCAGGACGAACGCUGGCGGCGUGCCUAAUACAUGCAAGUCGAGCGAACCAAUAAGAAGCUUGCUUUUUGUUGGUUAGCGGCGGACGGGUGAGUAACACGUGGGUAACCUGCCUGUAAGACCGGGAUAACUCCGGGAAACCGGUGCUAAUACCGGAUAGAUUAUCUUUCCGCCUGGAGAGAUAAGGAAAGAUGGCUUUCGCCAUCACUUACAGAUGGGCCCGCGGCGCAUUAGCUAGUUGGUGAGGUAACGGCUCACCAAGGCGACGAUGCGUAGCCGACCUGAGAGGGUGAUCGGCCACACUGGGACUGAGACACGGCCCAGACUCCUACGGGAGGCAGCAGUAGGGAAUCUUCCGCAAUGGACGAAAGUCUGACGGAGCAACGCCGCGUGAGCGAAGAAGGUCUUCGGAUCGUAAAGCUCUGUUGUUAGGGAAGAACAAGUAUCGGAGGAAAUGCCGGUACCUUGACGGUACCUGACGAGAAA
Molecule: ribosomal RNA, 500 nt
Filed under: uncultured bacterium
Lineage: Bacteria
Description: bacterial SSU rRNA
Rfam family: Bacterial small subunit ribosomal RNA
Source: RNAcentral